This 1463-nucleotide long non-coding RNA is filed under the name Gopherus agassizii (Agassiz's desert tortoise). RNAcentral describes it as "lncRNA (ENSGAGG00000012408.1)". Lineage: Eukaryota; Metazoa; Chordata; Testudines; Testudinidae. The record is from RNAcentral.
AAAAACAGAGGGGAACGCACUAAAUCUUGGUUACUCUUCCCACCAGCCAGUGUGGCCAGGGGACCUUGGGUCAUGGUCCAGAGCACGGAGGCAUUCGAAGAGCCUCUUAGUGCCAGCCAAGGGCAGGUCACCUCCAAGACUAAAGAGACCUCAAUUUACACCCAAAGCUAAAAACAAAAAGCCACAAACAAAACCCAAGGCUGCGUUUGAAGCGACAGCACAGUACAAAAGCAAAAGUCUGAAUUGUCCGUGGCGCUCUCUCUUCAACUGGGUGCCUUUAAGAAAACAGAAGAGAAGCAAGGCAGCUUUGAAACAAAGCUGGUUGACAGGCAGAGAAGCAGAGGUCUCAAGAAAAUUUUGCAUUGCUAAUUGGUCUCAGUUCAGAGUCCAGCCAUCCAGCCAUCAAAAGCCUCCACCGUUUUGCUUUUUAAUGAGAGAUUUUCAUACAUUAACAGUUCAUUAAGUCUGUAGCCAAGUAAUUUUUAGACCCAUUUAAAAUGCAUAUGCCAAGCGGCCUUGACUCUCGCCUGACUUCUUAAGAUAAAAGUUGACACAGCCCCGCGUGGCCUGCUCUGGCUGUCUGCUUCACCUCAGUGAUUGACCUGGAAGAGCAGGGGAGGGGGGAGAAAACUGCAGCAACUGGGAGAUUAAGCAACUUUACCAGAGUCAAAUGGAAUGAACCUGGACCCAAGCUUCCGUGCAGAAGACAACAAAGCCAGCCAAGAGGAGGAGAAACCGUUCCCAGGGCAUUUGCACACACAAAAAGUCACUACACACUUUCUUCCUGGAAUGGAGAUAAGAUGGAAAAGGAGGGAUGAGAGCAGAUGGAGAAGAGUGAAAUGAACAUUGCAGUCAAUGCUACCCACGCCUGUACACAGGGAAAGGAGCGUAGAACCAUGUCUGUACAUAGAUCACUCACUUUCAUAAAUGUUGUGAACUAUAAUAUCUGACUGAGCAGCUCACUAGGGCCUGGAGGUCCCAGCUGAACUAGAGCCCCAUUAUGCCAGGCACUGUACAGACGCUCAUGCCUUGUCUACAUGAGAAAGUUGCACUGGCUUAAUUUAAAUCAGUCUUGAAACCAAUAUAGUUAAACCGGUGCUAAACCCUGUGCAAACACCAUUAUUUCAAUUUAACUUAAACCUGUUUCCAGGCUAUUUAAACUAAACUGAAAAAGCCACUCAUAUCAAAAUAGGACAGAGGUUUGCACCAAAAUAAGUGUAUUGGUUUAAAUUCAGACCUUAAGUUAUAAAGUUUGGUAAGGCCAUAGUAUGUGACAUGCCCUGCCCUGAAGAGUUUACCGUCUAAACAGCUAAAGACUUGUAGGGAAAGUAACUUGACCAAGAUCAAUAUAGUAGAUCAGUGGCAGAGCCAGUCUUGCAGGCUAGUGCUCUUGCCAGUGGCUCACCCUGCCUCUCAAGUGAAGGCUCUAAGACAUCUCAUGUAAUAAGGUGCUAUUUAGCUGG